CUUGGGAGGGUAAUGCUAGAACCAAGAGGGUGGGGCCCAGGGUCACGACUGACACCCAAAUUAUGGGCCCUUGGAACCUUAUUGGAGCUUAGGUGAGCACGCAAGAUUCUGGUGCCCAGACUUGCACCGAAGGAGCUUGAACUACCGACACAGGAGGUGGAAGAUCAACCAUGGUAGGUUGUUGCACAGUGAUGGAUGCAGCUAGUCAUGGUUUUCUUUAUACAGUUGCCCCAACUACCC
Molecule: long non-coding RNA, 240 nt
Filed under: Elaeis guineensis (African oil palm)
Lineage: Eukaryota; Viridiplantae; Streptophyta; Magnoliopsida; Arecales; Arecaceae
Description: long non-coding RNA (EGUI_LNC038299)
Source: RNAcentral